GUGAGGAAUCUUGCGCAAUGGGGGCAACCCUGACGCAGCAACGCCGCGUGAGUGAAGAAGGCCUUCGGGUCGUAAAGCUCUGUCAAGUGGGAAGAAUAGCCUUAAGACGAAUAAUCUUGAGGUAUGACGGUACCACUGGAGGAAGCACCGGCUAACUCCGUGCCAGCAGCCGCGGUAAUACGGAGGGUGCAAGCGUUAUUCGGAAUUAUUGGGCGUAAAGGGCGUGUAGGCGGCCAGAUAAGUCAGAGGUGAAAGCCCGGGGCUCAACCCCGGAAGUGCCUUUGAAACUGCUUGGCUUGAGUGCGGGAGAGGAAAGCGGAAUUCCCAGUGUAGAGGUGAAAUUCGUAGAUAUUGGGAGGAACACCGGUGGCGAAGGCGGCUUUCUGGACCGACACUGACGCUGAGGCGCGAAAGCGUGGGGAGCAAACAGGAUUAGAAACCCGGGUAGUCC
RNAcentral lists this ribosomal RNA (451 nucleotides) under uncultured bacterium. RNAcentral's name for it is "bacterial SSU rRNA". It matches the Rfam family "Bacterial small subunit ribosomal RNA", at positions 354 to 796 of the family's 1533-position model. The record is from RNAcentral.